CCUACGGGGGGCAGCAGUGAGGAAUAUUGGUCAAUGGCCGGAAGGCUGAACCAGCCAAGCCGCGUGAGGGAGGAAGGCGCAGAGCGUCGCAGACCUCUUUUGCCGGGGGACAAAAGGCCGGACUCGUCCGGUCCUGAGGGUACCCGGAGAAAAAGCAUCGGCUAACUCCGUGCCAGCAGCCGCGGUAAUACGGAGGAUGCGAGCGUUAUCCGGAUUCAUUGGGUUUAAAGGGUGCGCAGGCGGGCCUUUAAGCCGGCGGUGAAAUCGCGGGGCUCAACCCCCAAACUGCUUUUGGAACUGCGGGUCUUGAGUGAUGGAGAGGCAGGCGGAAUUCCCAGUGUAGCGGUGAAAUGCGUAGAUAUUGGGAGGAACACCAGUGGCGAAGGCGGCCUGCUGGACAUUAACUGACGCUGAGGCGCGAAAGCGUGGGGAGCAAACAGGAUUAGAUACCCUUGUAGUC
RNAcentral lists this ribosomal RNA (460 nucleotides) under uncultured bacterium. RNAcentral's name for it is "partial 16S ribosomal RNA". It matches the Rfam family "Bacterial small subunit ribosomal RNA", at positions 338 to 795 of the family's 1533-position model. The record is from RNAcentral.